This 403-nucleotide ribosomal RNA is filed under the name Hyphomicrobiales bacterium. RNAcentral's name for it is "bacterial SSU rRNA". It matches the Rfam family "Bacterial small subunit ribosomal RNA", at positions 1 to 430 of the family's 1533-position model. Lineage: Bacteria; Pseudomonadati; Pseudomonadota; Alphaproteobacteria; Hyphomicrobiales. The record is from RNAcentral.
CAACUUGAGAGUUUGAUCCUGGCUCAGAACGAACGCUGGCGGCAGGCUUAACACAUGCAAGUCGAACGCUCGUAGCAAUACGGGAGUGGCAGACGGGUGAGUAACGCGUGGGAACAUACCCUCCGGUUCGGAAUAGCUCAGGGAAACUUGGAUUAAUACCGGAUACGGCUGAGAGGCGAAAGAUUUAUCGCCGGAGGAUUGGCCCGCGUUCGAUUAGCUAGUUGGUGAGGUAACGGCUCACCAAGGCGAUGAUCGAUAGCUGGUCUGAGAGGAUGAUCAGCCACAUUGGGACUGAGACACGGCCCAAACUCCUACGGGAGGCAGCAGUGGGGAAUAUUGGACAAUGGGCGCAAGCCUGAUCCAGCCAUGCCGCGUGAGUGAUGACGGCCUUAGGGUUGUAAAG